RNA transcript from Elaeis guineensis (African oil palm), 3232 nucleotides. It is a transcript of the gene named AP-1 complex subunit gamma-2, with no coding region annotated. Lineage: Eukaryota; Viridiplantae; Streptophyta; Magnoliopsida; Arecales; Arecaceae. The record is from RefSeq and is a predicted model, not a curated record.
CGGAGGACUCACGAGUUCACGACACCGCACUCUCGCGCAGAUCCAAUACACCGUUGUAUUCCCCUUCCCCGCUCUCUCCCCGGUCUCAGAUCCCUCGGCUCCCUUGCUCGGAUCUCGAACGCUCACCUUGCGCCUCCUAUCGAGACCUAGGUCUUCUGCUGCCCUUUCGAUCGAGAACCGAGGGGACUCGCAGGAGACCUCAAGACGGACCUCGCCAUGAAUCCCUUCUCUUCCGGGACCCGGCUCAGGGACAUGAUUCGAGCUAUACGUGCUUGCAAAACUGCUGCAGAGGAGCGUGCUGUUGUGAGAAAAGAAUGUGCUGCUAUACGUGCUGCUAUUAGUGAAAAUGAUCCAGAUUAUAGGCAUCGUAAUCUUGCAAAACUUAUGUUUAUUCACAUGCUUGGUUAUCCCACUCAUUUUGGUCAAAUGGAAUGUCUCAAAUUGAUAGCUUCUGCUGGGUUUCCUGAAAAGAGAAUUGGUUAUCUUGGUCUAAUGCUGCUGCUUGAUGAAAGGCAAGAGGUUCUUAUGCUUGUUACAAAUUCCUUGAAACAAGAUCUCAAUCAUUCAAAUCAGUAUAUUGUGGGUCUUGCACUUUGUGCUCUAGGGAAUAUAUGUUCUGCAGAAAUGGCACGGGAUCUUGCACCGGAAGUAGAAAGGUUAUUACAAACUAGAGAUCCAAACAUUAAAAAAAAGGCUGCUUUGUGCUCUAUAAGGAUAAUAAGAAAAGUUCCAGACUUAGCAGAAAACUUUAUGGGCCCUGCUUCUUCUUUGCUGAAGGAAAAGCAUCAUGGAGUUUUAAUAGCUGGAGUUCAGCUCUGCACAGAUCUAUGUAAAGCUAGUACCAUCGCCUUAGAAUAUUUGAGAAAGAACUGCACAGAGGGACUGGUUCGAAUACUGAGAGAUGUCUCGAAUAGUCCAUAUGCACCCGAGUAUGACAUUGCUGGGAUUACAGACCCUUUUUUGCAUAUCCGAGUGCUUAGGCUCAUGCGUAUGCUUGGCCAAGGAGAUGCAGAUUCCAGUGAAUAUAUGAAUGACAUUCUUGCUCAGGUUGCGACAAAAACUGAGUCAAACAAAAAUGCUGGAAAUGCUAUUCUGUAUGAAUGUGUUGAAACUAUAAUGGGCAUUGAAGCUACUAGUGGUCUUCGUGUGCUUGCUAUCAAUAUUUUAGGAAGAUUCCUGUCAAAUCGUGACAACAAUAUCAGAUACGUUGCCCUUAAUAUGCUCAUGAAGGCUGUUACAGUUGAUUCUCAAGCAGUGCAAAGGCACAGAACAACGAUUCUAGAGUGUGUCAAGGAUUCUGAUGCCUCAAUUCGGAAAAGAGCCCUCGAACUUGUUUUUCUGCUAGUUAACGACACCAAUGUGAAGUCUUUGACAAAAGAACUUAUUGAUCACCUAGAAGUAAGUGAUCAAGAAUUCAAGGGCGAUCUGACUGCCAAAAUUUGCUCAAUUGUUGAAAAGUUUUCUCAGGAGAAGCUAUGGUAUAUUGAUCAGAUGUGCAAGGUUUUAUCUCUGGCAGGGAACCAUGUAAAAGAUGACGUGUGGCAUGCCUUAAUAGUCAUGAUAAGCAAUGCACCUGAUCUGCAAGGUUACGCAGUAAGGUCAUUAUACAAGGCAUUCCGAACUUCAAAUGAACAGGAGAGUUUAGUGCGAGUAACAGUAUGGUGUAUUGGUGAAUAUGGUGAGAUGCUGGUCAAUAAUGUUGGAGUGCUCGAAAUGGAGGAACCAAUGACAGUGACAGAGUCUGAUGCUGUGGAUGUUGUAGAGGUUGCUUUACAACAUCAUUCUUCAGAUAUCACAACUCGAGCAAUGUCCUUGGUUGCUCUUUUGAAGCUCUCCUCACGUUUUCCUCCUACUUCAGAGAGAAUAAGAGAGAUUGUUAUGCAGCAUAAAGGAAAUGUUGAACUGGAGUUACAGCAAAGAUCACUUGAAUUCAAUUCUAUCAUCCAAAGACAUCCGAACAUUAAGUCUUCUUUGGUUGAAAGGAUGCCUGUUCUGGAUGAGUCAGCUUAUAUUGGAAAGAGAGCAGGCUCCUCACAAGCAACCCUUUCAGCAGAUAAAUCUAGCCAAACAACCUCCUCCGGACCAUCCUCACUGAAGCUUCCGAAUGGUGUAACCAAACCACCAGCAGCUCCCCUGAUGGAUCUACUUGAUUUAAGUUCAGAUGAUGCACCAGUUUCUACUUCAUCCACUACUGAUUUUCUGCAUGACUUGUUGGGUGGUGAUUCGAUAAGUCCAGGUGUAGCUCCAUCGGGGGGUGCAGGUACAGAUAUUCUGAUGGAUCUUCUAUCAAUUGGAUCACCUUCCGCACCAACCGAUGUACUAGUGCCUAAUGCUAUUUCCUCCAAGCAAGGGAAUGCACCAGAGCCUAAAAUUGCUCCUGCUCCAGUAAUGGAUUUGUUGGAUGGCUUACCAUCAAGAGAGGAGAAUCCAGUUUAUCCAUCUAUCACGGCUUUUGAGAGCAGCACCUUGAAGAUUACAUUCAGCUUCACAAAGCAGCCUGGAAAUCUGCAAGCUACAGUGAUCCAGGCUACAUUCACAAAUUUGUCAUCUAGUGCUUACACAGACUUCAUUUUUCAAGCCGCUGUUCCAAAGUUCAUCCAGUUGCAAUUAGACCCUGCUAGCAGCAGCACUCUUCCAGCCAAUGGCAGUGGAACGAUUACACAAAUGCUAACUGUCACUAAUAGCCAGCAUGGGCAGAGGGGAAGCCAAGACUAGAACACUAAAGAUUAAAAUCUGGAGAAAGAACAACCCACUCCAGCAGCAGUUACAAGUAGAGAUAAUAGAAAGCCCUUGCCAUGCGUAUAAGGAUGGCUUACAAAGUGAAUGACCAAGAUAAGCUGGAACAAGGACAGAUCAACAAUUUUCCACGUGGUUUAUGAGCCUGCUGUUUGGUGCCCAAUUGUGUGGUGGAAUUUUUUCUUUAAAUUUUUAUUUCAUGGAGGGUUUGCCCCUUUUUUCCGUUCUUGCUUCAGAGGAUCCUUGGACGGUCUAGGCAUUUUUUUGAUUGUUCACAUAUAAUGUAUAGAAAUUGGCAUUUAUACAACAUUCUCAAGUUCUGGUAGGUGUGAAGCACACUUACGGUUAAUGUACACCAUGCAUUUCCGUUAUAGGGGAUGCAGAACUGAUUCAUUUUCUUGGGCAGGGAAGAAGUUGUUGUACGGAUGUACUGUUCGAUUUAUACUUUGUUAAAGUUAUUCAUCAUUCAUCAAUGCUGGUGUUUUUUCCCUUGAAA